UUUUCUCCGGCGCCUUCGCCGCCGCCGCCCGCGCCCGGGAGCGCGCUUUUCUCUGCCUGCGGUCGGUGCGCUCGGCCGGAGCCGCCGCGGCGGAACGGAACCCAGAGAAGGCGGCGCUCGGGGCUGCCCGCGGCGAGGGAGGCUGCGCCCAGGUCACCGGCCCCGCGGAGAGCGCCCAGCCGCGCCAUGGGGGAGGCGCCCAGCCCCGCGCCCGCGCUCUGGGACUGGGACUACCUGGACCGCUGCUUCGCCCGCCACCGCGUCUGCAUCUCCUUCGGCCUGUGGAUCUGCGCCUCCUCCUGCUGGAUCGCCGCCCACGUGCUGCUUCUCUAUCUGAGAUGUGCAAAGAAAUCCAGACAGGACCAGUCGGCGCUGUGUGCUGCGUGCUGCCUCCUGACCAGUCUGUGUGACACCAUCGGGGCUGUUCUCGCCAGACAGCUCACAAUCCAGGUUUUCACUGGUGCCUACCUAGCAGCUGUUGACUUAGUGAACUUUAUGUUCAUUCUCUUCCCAGUCUGUGGAUCCAAAUUCAAGUCUAAUUCAGAUCGGGAAGCCCGAGAAAGGAAGAGGAGGCGGCAGCUCAGGGCCAGUGUGUUUGCCCUGGCCCUGCCGCUGAGCCUGGGCCCGUGCUGGGCUCUCUGGGUUGCUGCCCCAAAGGCUUCAGCCACCAUCCGGGGGCCACAGCGGAGGCUGCUGGGGAGCCUGCUGCAGGAAAAUACUGAGAUCCUCGGCUACCUGCUGGGUAGCAUUGCCGCCUUUGGCUCCUGGGCUUCUCGGAUCCCCCCUCUCUCCAGAAUUCCCCUCCCUCUCUCUGCCCAGUGCCAGGGGAAGACAUUUCCUUCCAUCCACCUGUGGACUCGGCUCCUGUCGGCCCUGGCUGGCCUCCUCUAUGCCUCAGCCAUUGUGGCCCACGACCGGCAGCCCGAGUACCUGCUGCGGGCCACACCCUGGUUCCUGACCUCCCUCGGCCACGCGGCGCUGGACCUCGCUAUUAUUUUCCUUUCGUGUGUGAUGAAGAGCAAGAUGAGACAGGCCUUAGGAUUUGCCCCUGAAGCCAGAGAGAGCCCUGACACCCAAGCCCUUUUGACCUGCGCAGAGAAAGAGGAAGAAGACCAGGAGGCGAGGAACGAGGACAAGAAUUUGGAUUGGGUGCCUCUCACCACACUGUCACACUGCAAGUCACUGAGGACAAUGACAGCAAUCAGUCGCUACAUGGAGCUGACCAUUGAGCCUGUGCAGCAGGCAGGCUGCAGUGCCACCAGGCUGCCAGGUGACGGACAGACGAGCGCUGGAGAUGCGUUGCUGCAGGAGCCCCCAUCGUACCCUCCCGUUCAGGUCAUCCGGGCCCGAGUGUCUUCCAGCAGCUCCUCCAAGGUCUCCUCCAUCAACUCCGACCUGGAGUGGGACCCUGAAGAUGUGAACCUCGAAGGCAGCAAAGACAAGGUGGAGCUGCUCGGAUCCCAGGUGCACCGGGACUCUGUGAGGACCGCACACCUGAGUGAUGAUGAUUAACACCUUCUGGAGCCGGCUCUUCAGCUCAGAGCCCAGGGUCAGGAGUUUGUUGAGUAACACAGCAGGAAUCAAUCCGCACUGACACCGUGGCAGGAACUGAAGCUGCCCUGGAAAGUGAGGAACCAGGAGCCGUCACUGAGUGUGGCUGGUCUAUAUCAUAGCUCAUUGUGGAGCAACAACUUUGGGAACUGCGGACAGACCUGGAUAGGCCCAGUGUUUGUUCUGAAGAUUACAAGUUCACAGACCACUCUUGCUUUGUAAAGAUAAUCCAAAGGACAUUAGACCCGCUUUUCCUUUUUCCCUUUAUUCCCUUGAGAGUCAGCCAUAAACUGAAUACCUGCUAGGUUCCAGGAAUGAGUUCACCUAACAAAUAGCGAAUGUGUUUGGUUGGAUCUCAGCAGAGCCCAUUCUGCAAGACCUGGCUGAGCCAGAUGAGAGGGGUGGGCCCUGUGCUGGGGAGCCUUGGGUCACACACAGGAACCAAGACCUGGCUUCUGCCCCCGUCACCCACUUGAGUUAUCUGCUGAAAGUUAUAGAUAGGACUGCGUGGCCAGCCAAGUGUUUGUGAGAUCACUGACACUGCCAAACCAAAGCAAACUGCUCCGGGUACCAGGACUUCCUCCAACCUAGCGAGGUGUGUGCUGACGCGGGGUUCACAGGUAUUGCUCUACUCUCUUCGACUUUACAUUGUUUUCGAUGCUUUUGCAAGGAGACUCUGCCUUGAAUGAACCCUAGAUAUGGUGCGAUGUUGAGGAAGAUCUCCAAGUUUACACAUGCCUGCACGAUGGCCCAAAGGUAUCAUCAGGUGAAAGGGACGACCUUAGAGAUGAAAGAAGUUCAAGGAAUGGUGCUACAUUAAAUGACUUAGCAUUAAAAAGCAUCUACUUUGCCUUUUCUUUCACCAACCCUGAAAGCCAAAUAAGACACUGGGCAUUGAGGACUUCUUUUGAGCAGAACCCGUGAUUACACAGCGUUAUUCUUCAAGAGACUCUCGUAAUCUGUCGCCUGGAGAACUCUGCACACUGUCCCAAUUCCGUCUGCAUUUUCCAUCGGCUGCCAGUGUUCGUAGCAGAGGGCUCGGGUCUUCUCGUCCUCUCCUCAGGGUCUGGCAGCUGUCACUACCGUGGAGUUCGGUCCAGUUCCCAGCGUUGGGGGCGCUGCCUUUCCCAUUUCAGUUGCCAGGAGGCUCAUCCACGAUCGUGCCAGAGGGGCAGCGAGUGGUCUCCUCGAACUACGGGGGAGAGAGGAGCCACUGUUGGCACGGGCCAGACUGAACGCCGGUUCCCACUGCCUACCUCCUCGGAGCUGCAGCCGCCGACAUCUUGCGCCCUAUUGCCAGCACCGCGGGGGCGCUUCGGGAAGAAGGGACUAGCGGUUCCGCGCGUGCGCA
Molecule: RNA transcript, 2902 nt
Organism: Cercocebus atys (sooty mangabey)
Lineage: Eukaryota; Metazoa; Chordata; Mammalia; Primates; Cercopithecidae
Gene: TMEM44
Gene name: transmembrane protein 44
Exons: 11
Source: RefSeq, a predicted model, not a curated record